RNAcentral lists this ribosomal RNA (253 nucleotides) under uncultured bacterium. RNAcentral describes it as "partial 16S ribosomal RNA". It matches the Rfam family "Bacterial small subunit ribosomal RNA", at positions 524 to 776 of the family's 1533-position model. The record is from RNAcentral.
UACGGAGGGUACAAGCGUUAUCCGGAUUCACUGGGUUUAAAGGGUGCGUAGGUGGGCAGUUAAGUCAGUGGUGAAAUCUCCGGGCUCAACCCGGAAACUGCCAUUGAUACUAUCUGUCUUGAAUAUCGUGGAGGUAAGCGGAAUAUGUCAUGUAGCGGUGAAAUGCUUAGAUAUGACAUAGAACACCAAUUGCGAAGGCAGCUUACUACCCGAAUAUUGACACUGAGGCACGAAAGCGUGGGGAUCAAACAGG